This 253-nucleotide ribosomal RNA is filed under the name uncultured bacterium. RNAcentral describes it as "partial 16S ribosomal RNA". It matches the Rfam family "Bacterial small subunit ribosomal RNA", at positions 524 to 776 of the family's 1533-position model. The record is from RNAcentral.
UACGAAGGGUGCUAGCGUUGUUCGGAAUUACUGGGCGUAAAGCGCGCGCAGGCGGCUUUCCAAGUCAGAGGUGAAAUCCCGGGGCUUAACCCCGGAAUUGCCUUUGAAACUGGUUGGCUUGAGUGUCGGAGGGGAUAGCGGAAUUUCUAAUGUAGCGGUGAAAUGCGUAGAUAUUAGAAGGAACACCGGUGGCGAAGGCGGCUAUCUGGACGACAACUGACGCUGAGGCGCGAAAGCGCGGGGAUCAAACAGG